CCUACGGGUGGCAGCAGUGGGGAAUAUUGGGCAAUGGGCGCAAGCCUGACCCAGCAACGCCGCGUGAAGGAAGAAGGCUUUCGGGUUGUAAACUUCUUUUCUCAGGGACGAAGAAAGUGACGGUACCUGAGGAAUAAGCCACGGCUAACUACGUGCCAGCAGCCGCUGUAAUACGUAGGGGGCAAGCGUUAUCCGGAUUUACUGGGUGUCAAGGGGGCGCAGACGGCGAUGCAAGCCAGGAGUGAAAGCCCGGGGCCCAACCCCGGGACUGCUCUUGGAACUGCGUGGCUGGAGUGCAGGAGGGGCAGGCGGAAUUCCUGGUGUAGCGGUGAAAUGCGUAGAUAUUAGGAGGAACCCCAGUGGCGAAGGCGGCCUGCUGGGCUUUUACUGACGCUGAGGCUCGAAAGUGUGGGGAGCAAACAGGAUUAGAUACCCCUGUAGUC
This 443-nucleotide ribosomal RNA is filed under the name uncultured bacterium. RNAcentral's name for it is "partial 16S ribosomal RNA". It matches the Rfam family "Bacterial small subunit ribosomal RNA", at positions 338 to 795 of the family's 1533-position model. The record is from RNAcentral.